CCUACGGGAGGCAGCAGUGGGGAAUAUUGGGCAAUGGGCGCAAGCCUGACCCAGCAACGCCGCGUGAAGGAAGAAGGCUUUCGGGUUGUAAACUUCUUUUCUCAGGGACGAAACAAGUGACGGUACCUGAGGAAUAAGCCACGGCUAACUACGUGCCAGCAGCCGCGGUAAUACGUAGGUGGCAAGCGUUAUCCGGAUUUACUGGGUGUAAAGGGGGUGUAGGCGGGACUGCAAGUCAGAUGUGAAAACCAUGGGCUCAACCUAUGGCCUGCAUUUGAAACUGUAGUUCUUGAGUACUGGAGAGGCAGACGGAAUUCCUAGUGUAGCGGUGAAAUGCGUAGAUAUUAGGAGGAACACCAGUGGCGAAGGCGGUCUGCUGGACGACAACUGACGCUGAGGCGCGAAAGCGUGGGGAGCAAACAGGAUUAGAUACCCGAGUAGUC
This 443-nucleotide ribosomal RNA is filed under the name uncultured bacterium. RNAcentral describes it as "partial 16S ribosomal RNA". It matches the Rfam family "Bacterial small subunit ribosomal RNA", at positions 338 to 795 of the family's 1533-position model. The record is from RNAcentral.